GACGAACGCUGGCGGCGUGCUUAACACAUGCAAGUCGAACGGAAAGGCCCUGCUUUUGUGGGGUGCUCGAGUGGCGAACGGGUGAGUAACACGUGAGUAACCUGCCCUUGACUUUGGGAUAACUUCAGGAAACUGGGGCUAAUACCGGAUAGGAGCUCCUGCUGCAUGGUGGGGGUUGGAAAGUUUCGGCGGUUGGGGAUGGACUCGCGGCUUAUCAGCUUGUUGGUGGGGUAGUGGCUUACCAAGGCUUUGACGGGUAGCCGGCCUGAGAGGGUGACCGGCAACAUUGGGACUGAGAUACGGCCCAGACUCCUACGGGAGGAAGCAGUGGGGAAUAUUGCACAAUGGGCGGAAGCCUGAUGCAGAAACGCCGCGUGCGGGAUGACGGCCUUCGGGUUGUAAACGGCUUUCGCCUGUGACGAAGCGUGAGUGACGGUAAUGGGUAAGAAGCACCGGCUAACUACGUG
RNAcentral lists this ribosomal RNA (467 nucleotides) under uncultured bacterium. RNAcentral's name for it is "partial 16S ribosomal RNA". It matches the Rfam family "Bacterial small subunit ribosomal RNA", at positions 28 to 507 of the family's 1533-position model. The record is from RNAcentral.